GCUUGUACACUAAACACUAUUUAAAAGCAGGUGUUAAAAAAUUAGGCGUUUGUUAUACAUAUAAAAUAUCAAGUUUCAUCAAAGGAUUAUCGGUCACAUCCUUCAUACCAUAUAAUAUCCUAAAUAUUUAUGUUAUCAUUAUCAGGUGCCCAUAUACAAAAAAUAUAAGGAAACGGGAAAGAGGCUUCUUCUUCUUCUUUUU
RNAcentral lists this long non-coding RNA (202 nucleotides) under Gossypium barbadense (sea-island cotton). RNAcentral's name for it is "long non-coding RNA (GBAR_LNC012841)". Lineage: Eukaryota; Viridiplantae; Streptophyta; Magnoliopsida; Malvales; Malvaceae. The record is from RNAcentral.